UCGGAAAGGUGUGUGGUGUUCCUUCUGG
This 28-nucleotide non-coding RNA is filed under the name Homo sapiens (human). The record is from RNAcentral. Lineage: Eukaryota; Metazoa; Chordata; Mammalia; Primates; Hominidae.